Molecule: ribosomal RNA, 401 nt
Filed under: Micippa cristata
Lineage: Eukaryota; Metazoa; Arthropoda; Malacostraca; Decapoda; Mithracidae
Description: partial 16S ribosomal RNA
Rfam family: Archaeal large subunit ribosomal RNA
Source: RNAcentral
CAUAAUCAUUAGUUCUUUAAUUGGGAACUUGUAUGAAUGGUUAGACAAAGGAAAAACUGUCUUUGUUUGAUAAAUUGAAUUUAACUUUUAAGUGAAAAGGCUUAAAUAAAUUAAGGGGACGAUAAGACCCUAUAAAGCUUUAUAAGUGGGAGAGUUUUGUUAAAGUUAGUAAUAGUGAAAUUCUUAACAUUUAUUUUGUUGGGGCGACAUAAAUAAAAUUUUUAUAACUGUUUAUAUUUAAGUCAUUUAUAAGUGAAAACGUAGUUGAUCCUUUUUUAAGAUAAGAGAUUAAGUUACUUUAGGGAUAACAGCGUUAUUUUUUCUGAGAGUUCUUAUCGAAGAAAAAGAUUGCGACCUCGAUGUUGAAUUAAAGAAUCUGAGUAGUGCAGCUGCUACUGAAG